This 1373-nucleotide ribosomal RNA is filed under the name uncultured bacterium. RNAcentral describes it as "bacterial SSU rRNA". It matches the Rfam family "Bacterial small subunit ribosomal RNA", at positions 28 to 1381 of the family's 1533-position model. The record is from RNAcentral.
GAUGAACGCUGGCGGCGUGCCUAAUACAUGCAAGUCGAGCGAACGGACGAGAAGCUUGCUUCUCCGAUGUUAGCGGCGGACGGGUGAGUAACACGUGGAUAACCUACCUAUAAGACUGGGAUAACUUCGGGAAACCGGAGCUAAUACCGGAUAAUAUUUUGAACCGCAUGGUUCAAAAGUGAAAGACGGUCUUGCUGUCACUUAUAGAUGGAUCCGCGCUGCAUUAGCUAGUUGGUAAGGUAACGGCUUACCAAGGCAACGAUGCAUAGCCGACCUGAGAGGGUGAUCGGCCACACUGGAACUGAGACACGGUCCAGACUCCUACGGGAGGCAGCAGUAGGGAAUCUUCCGCAAUGGGCGAAGGCCUGACGGAGCAACGCCGCGUGAGUGAUGAAGGUCUUCGGAUCGUAAAACUCUGUUAUUAGGGAAGAACAUAUGUGUAAGUAACUGUGCACAUCUUGACGGUACCUAAUCAGAAAGCCACGGCUAACUACGUGCCAGCAGCCGCGGUAAUACGUAGGUGGCAAGCGUUAUCCGGAAUUAUUGGGCGUAAAGCGCGCGUAGGCGGUUUUUUAAGUCUGAUGUGAAAGCCCACGGCUCAACCGUGGAGGGUCAUUGGAAACUGGAAAACUUGAGUGCAGAAGAGGAAAGUGGAAUUCCAUGUGUAGCGGUGAAAUGCGCAGAGAUAUGGAGGAACACCAGUGGCGAAGGCGACUUUCUGGUCUGUAACUGACGCUGAUGUGCGAAAGCGUGGGGAUCAAACAGGAUUAGAUACCCUGGUAGUCCACGCCGUAAACGAUGAGUGCUAAGUGUUAGGGGGUUUCCGCCCCUUAGUGCUGCAGCUAACGCAUUAAGCACUCCGCCUGGGGAGUACGACCGCAAGGUUGAAACUCAAAGGAAUUGACGGGGACCCGCACAAGCGGUGGAGCAUGUGGUUUAAUUCGAAGCAACGCGAAGAACCUUACCAAAUCUUGACAUCCUUUGACAACUCUAGAGAUAGAGCCUUCCCCUUCGGGGGGGCAAAGUGACAGGUGGUGCAUGGUUGUCGUCAGCUCGUGUCGUGAGAUGUUGGGUUAAGUCCCGCAACGAGCGCAACCCUUAAGCUUAGUUGCCAUCAUUAAGUUGGGCACUCUAAGUUGACUGCCGGUGACAAACCGGAGGAAGGUGGGGAUGACGUCAAAUCAUCAUGCCCCUUAUGAUUUGGGCUACACACGUGCUACAAUGGACAAUACAAAGGGCAGCGAAACCGCGAGGUCAAGCAAAUCCCAUAAAGUUGUUCUCAGUUCGGAUUGUAGUCUGCAACUCGACUACAUGAAGCUGGAAUCGCUAGUAAUCGUAGAUCAGCAUGCUACGGUGAAUACGUUCCCGGGUCU